AUGCAUUUCACUCUGUUCGCAGCUUUGGGACGUUCUGAUCACCUUCUGGUUCAUCUUAUACCGUCCUACAGGCAGAAACUAAAAUCAGCUAAACCUGUAUCAAGGACUGUAAAAAGAUGGACUAAUGAAGCAGAGCAGGAUUUACAAUCUUGUUUUGACCUCACUGAUUGGAGUGUUUUUGAAGCUGCUGCCACCGAUCUGGAUGAACUCACAGAGACCGUAACAUCAUAUAUCAGUUUCUGUGAGGAUAUGUGUAUUCCUACAAAGACUCAACUAAUUUACAAUAAUGACAAACCAUGGUUCACUGCAAAACUCAGACAGCUCCUUCAGGCCAAAGAAGAUGCUUACGUGAAGGGGGACAAUGUCUUGUAUAAACAGGCUAAAUACACAUUGGAAAAGGAGAUCAAAGUGGCAAAGAGGAAUUAUUCUGAAAAAAUAAGGACUCAGUUCACUUCCAACGACUCCGCAUCAGUGUGGAAAAGUCUAAAGAAGAUCACCAAUUACAAGACACCACCCCCCAGCACCGUAGAGAAUCAACGACUGGCAGACGAUCUGAACGAGUUUUACUGCAGGUUUGAAAGAACACCCAUCACCUGCCCUGAAUGCUUCCCAACACAACCAUUCACACCAUUCACAACUCCUGCAACCAGCCCCAAAUGCCUCUCCAAACUACCGUUCACACCAUUAACAGCUCCUGCAACCCAUCCUGAACACCUCUCCAAUCAAGCAGUCUCACCAUUCUCACCUCCUGCAUCCCCCCUCUCCCCCACACCUGCAAUUCAGAUCAGCGAGGAUGCGGUGCGCCAGGUCUUCCGGAAGCAGAAAAGGAAAAAAGCACCAGGCCCAGAUUGUGUUACACCAGCCUGUCUGAAAUCCUGUGCUGACCAGCUGGCCCCCAUCUUCACACGGAUUUUCAACAGAUCGCUGGAGCUGUGCGAAGUCCCUUCAUGCUUCAAAUGCUUCACCAUCAUCCCCAUCCCUAAGAAACCCAAAAUUACAGGACUAAAUGACUACAGGCCUGUGGCUCUAACGUCUGUAGUCAUGAAGUCAUUUGAAAAACUGGUGCUGGCCCAUCUGAAGGACAUCACUGGGCCCUUGCUGGAUCCUCUUCAGUUUGCCUACAGAGCAAACAGGUCUGUGGACGAUUCAGUAAACAUUGGACUGCAUUAUGUUCUGCAACACCUAGACAGACCGGGGACUUAUGUGAGGAUCCUGUUUGUGGACUUCAGCUCGGCCUUCAACACGAUCAUCCCAAACCUCCUCCUGCCCAAACUAAAUCAGCUCUCCGUGCCCACCUCCAUCUGUCAGUGGACCGAAAGCUUCCUGACAGACAGGCAGCAGCUAGUGAGGCUGGGAAAAUACACAUCCAGCACCCGUACAAUCAGCACCGGAGCUCCCCAGGGCUGCGUUCUCUCCCCACUGCUCUUCUCCCUGUACACUAAUGAUUGCACAUCUAAGGACCCCUCUGUCAAGCUCCUGAAGUUUGCAGAUGACACCACACUCAUCGGCCUCAUUCAGGACGGUGAGGAGUCUGCUUACAGACAGGAGGUAAAAGAGCUGGCUGUCUGGUGCACUCUCAACAACCUGGAGCUUAACACGCUCAAAACAGUGGAGAUGAUCGUGGACUUCAGGAGAAACCCCCCUGCACUCCCCCCACUCACCAUCAUGAACAGCACUGUGACUGCAGUGGAGUCAUUCAGGUUCCUGGGCACCACUAUCUCUCAGGACCUGAAGUGGGACAUUCACAUUGACUCCAUCGUAAAAAAGGCCCAGCAGAGGUUGUACUUCCUUCGCAAGCUGAGGAAAUUUAACCUGCCACAGGAGUUUUGCACAUAA
Molecule: long non-coding RNA, 1836 nt
Organism: Carassius auratus (goldfish)
Lineage: Eukaryota; Metazoa; Chordata; Actinopteri; Cypriniformes; Cyprinidae
Source: Ensembl